GACGAACGCUGGCGGCGUGCUUAACACAUGCCAGUCGAACGGAAAGGCCCUGCUUUUGUGGGGUGCUCGAGUGGCGAACGGGUGAGUAACACGUGAGUAACCUGCCCUUGACUUUGGGAUAACUUCAGGAAACUGGGGCUAAUACCGGAUAGGAGCUCCUGCUGCAUGGUGGGGGUUGGAAAGUUUCGGCGGUUGGGGAUGGACUCGCGGCUUAUCAGCUUGUUGGUGGGGUAGUGGCUUACCAGGGCUUUGACGGGUAGCCGGCCUGAGAGGGUGACCGGCCACAUUGGGACUGAGAUACGGCCCAGACUCCUACGGGAGGCAGCAGUGGGGAAUAUUGCACAAUGGGCGGAAGCCUGAUGCAACAACGCCGCGUGCGGGAUGACGGCCUUCGGGUUGUAAACCGCUUUCGCCUGUGACGAAGCGUGAGUGACGGUAAUGGGUAAAGAAGCACCGGCUAACUACGUG
Molecule: ribosomal RNA, 468 nt
Filed under: uncultured bacterium
Lineage: Bacteria
Description: partial 16S ribosomal RNA
Rfam family: Bacterial small subunit ribosomal RNA
Source: RNAcentral